Molecule: ribosomal RNA, 449 nt
Filed under: uncultured bacterium
Lineage: Bacteria
Description: partial 16S ribosomal RNA
Rfam family: Bacterial small subunit ribosomal RNA
Source: RNAcentral
AAUGAACGCUGGCGGUAGGCCUAACACAUGCAAGUCGAACGGAUCCUUCGGGAUUAGUGGCGGACGGGUGAGUAUCGCGUGGGAACAUACCCUUUGGUACGGAAUAGCCUCGGGAAACUGGGGGUAAUACCGUAUGUGGUCGAGAGACGAAAGAUUUAUCGCCAAAGGAUUGGCCCGCGUUGGAUUAGGUAGUUGGUGGGGUAAUGGCCUACCAAGCCGACGAUCCAUAGCUGGUUUGAGAGGAUGAUCAGCCACACUGGGACUGAGACACGGCCCAGACUCCUACGGGAGGCAGCAGUGGGGAAUCUUAGACAAUGGGGGAAACCCUGAUCUAGCCAUGCCGCGUGAUCGAUGAAGGCCUUAGGGUUGUAAAGAUCUUUCAGGUGGGAAGAUAAUGACUGUACCACCAGAAGAAGCCCCGGCUAACUCCGUGCCAGCAGCCGCCGUAA